RNAcentral lists this long non-coding RNA (1432 nucleotides) under Cyanistes caeruleus (blue tit). RNAcentral describes it as "lncRNA (ENSCCEG00000020643.1)". The record is from RNAcentral. Lineage: Eukaryota; Metazoa; Chordata; Aves; Passeriformes; Paridae.
AUUUUUAAAAUUUGCAGUACGGUUUUUGUGACAUGAAGUAAUAUCCUGAAGAAAGCUGAUAGAUGCAAACAAAUCUCAGCAAAGUGCUAAGGAAACUGCAACUGGCAAUAAUACUGGGAGGGCUGAAAAUCUUUAUUUUCUCUAGAUCUAAUCUUUAUUAUGUCAAGAUUGUGUGGGAUCAAGAACAAAUCAAAGGAAAAUCCAAUUGGACUUUAAACUAGUGACUUUUGUAUGCUCAAGGGCAAACCUGAUAAUCUAAGAAAACUGAGAAAAAAUAGGCUUUUUUGUACUUUGAAAAAUGCAGUUACUGAGUGUUGCAGGGUUUAAGGAAACGACAUUAUUAUCUCAGCUUGUGCUGAAAUGUUUCCUGUAGUACAAUUCCAAUGAUCUGCUUCCUUUUGCCAUGUCUGAUUAAGUCUUUUCUUUUCAAUAAUAGGGAGCAAAAUAUGUAAAAUAUUCCAUUGUGUAGAAACAAACCAAAAUACAUCAGUGACUGAAUUUUCUAAAAUAAUUAAACAUUGUAGCAAAUCCACCAUCUUUCCCCAUGCCAUUGGUUGUCUGAGCCUGCAACUAUUGAAAUGAAGGGACAGAUGAGGCUGAUGGACAGUUGUCAUCUAAUUCUGACAGAUCUUCUGCCCACCUCCACUGAGGAGAGACUAAAGGGUGUUAUCGUUGCCCUGAGUUAAGCUAAAUCCAUGACACCAAAUGGAACCUACAUAAUGUACAGCAGUUGGGUUUCACCAUCACCUCCUAUCUCAUUUUCUUUUCUACCCUCCUCUUAGAGGUCUUUUUGUGACCUUUGUGUGUGGGUGUUUUCCUAGGAGGUGUGACUUAGCUGAUUAAGGCUGUGGCAUGUCUCGUUUCCCUGCUGUGAACCCAUGACUAAAAGGGCAGCUAAAAGCAGCAUUGUAGUCAUCAGAUGCUGCUUGGAGUUUGCCAGGCUUUGGAGUGGCUGAUAAGACCAUGUGCUGGGUCUGUCUUCUUCCAAGUGCAAGUGGGUGACACUGCAGUACAGUUUUCCUUCCUUGCUGAGGGAUAUGCUGGCCUGUUAGAAAUGUUGGAACUGAAUGAUGCUUCAGUCAUCCCUUGGUGUGAGAACACUCGCUUUACUCAGACCAAAUCAUCCUGCCCUGAGCUGCCCUUUUCACACUGUGAUUACCAGGAGCUUAGCCCAGCUGAACUAGAGUUAUAAAAUCUCCAAAGCUAUUGAAAUGGCCUCAGUAACCUCAAAGACAAGAUGAUCUUAGGUGGAUCAUCUAAGUGGAGUAAGAGUGAUUCUCUUGCUUUUAAUGAAGUAAAAUCUUACUGCUCGGAGUGACUCACUAACACCACUUUUCAAUCGUUACUUCAUGGAUACAGUUUUUAGGUGAUUAUUUUGCUGUAUCAUAAGGCACACAAUGCAGUGUCAAAUAAACAUACUUUACAGGCUGCA